RNAcentral lists this ribosomal RNA (445 nucleotides) under uncultured bacterium. RNAcentral's name for it is "partial 16S ribosomal RNA". It matches the Rfam family "Bacterial small subunit ribosomal RNA", at positions 354 to 796 of the family's 1533-position model. The record is from RNAcentral.
GUGAGGAAUAUUGGUCAAUGGACGGAAGUCUGAACCAGCCAAGUAGCGUGCAGGAUGACGGCCCUAUGGGUUGUAAACUGCUUUUAUGCGGGGGUAAAGUGAGUGACGUGUCAUUCAUUGCAGGUACCGCAAGAAUAAGGACCGGCUAAUUCCGUGCCAGCAGCCGCGGUAAUACGGAAGGUCCUGGUGUUAUCCGGAUUUAUUGGGUUUAAAGGGAGCGUAGGCCGUCAGGCAAGCGUGUUGUGAAAUGUCGUGGCUCAACCAUGGACUUGCAGCGCGAACUGCCCGACUUGAGUGCGCAGAAAGCAGGCGGAAUUUGUGGUGUAGCGGUGAAAUGCUUAGAUAUCACGAAGAACCCCGAUUGCGAAGGCAGCCUGCUGUAGCGCUACUGACGCUGAAGCUCGAAAGUGCGGGUAUCGAACAGGAUUAGAAACCCGUGUAGUCC